GCUGGGUGUGGUGGUGCACCCCUGUAAUCCCAGCUACUUGGGAGGCUGAGGCAGGAGAAUCACUUGAACCCAGGAGGCAGAGGUUGCAGUGAUCCAAGAUCAUGCCACUGCACUCCAGCCUGGGUAACAAAGUGAGGCUCUGUCUCAA
Unclassified non-coding RNA from Pongo abelii (Sumatran orangutan), 148 nucleotides. It matches the Rfam family "Metazoan signal recognition particle RNA". From Rfam's summary of the family: The signal recognition particle (SRP) is a universally conserved ribonucleoprotein. It is involved in the co-translational targeting of proteins to membranes. The eukaryotic SRP consists of a 300-nucleotide 7S RNA and six proteins: SRPs 72, 68, 54, 19, 14, and 9. NCBI's taxonomy places the organism in Eukaryota, Metazoa, Chordata, Mammalia, Primates, Hominidae. The record is from Ensembl.